Molecule: small RNA, 633 nt
Filed under: Pongo abelii (Sumatran orangutan)
Lineage: Eukaryota; Metazoa; Chordata; Mammalia; Primates; Hominidae
Description: retained intron
Source: RNAcentral
GGCGCGCGGCGGCGACGGCGCGCCGUUGGUGUCAUGCGGAAGAUGGCGGCGUCCAGGGGAGGUUGAGGGCUCUGAGGAGGCGUUGAGAGGUUUCCGUACAGCCCGAACGUGCGGCUUUGGGGAUCCCUUCGCUCUGUGUUUCCUGCUCCAGGUUUCGCGUCUCGCAUCUUCCCAGACCCUCGGGCGCGAUGUGGAGGAGCUGCCUCCGGCUGCGGGACGGGGGACGCCGUCUCCUGAAUCGGCCUGCGGGUGGCCCCAGUGCUUCUAUGAGUCCGGGGCCAACCAUCCCGUCUCCAGCCCGGGCUUACGCCCCGCCGACAGAAAGGAAGAGGUUUUAUCAGAAUGUCAGCAUCACACAGGGUGAAGGUGGCUUUGAGAUAAACCUGGACCACAGGAAGCUGAAAACUCCCCAAGCCAAGCUCUUUACCGUCCCCAGCGAGGCCCUGGCUAUUGCAGUGGCUACUGAGUGGGAUUCCCAGCAGGAUACCAUCAAGUACUACACCAUGCACCUGGUAACAAGUUCACAGUGUGAACCUGGACCCUGAGACCCACCCAGGGCUUCGUAGGGUAGACCCCUUACCAAAUUCUGACAAGGCCCUGGGGGAUGGUCCUUUGCCUGUCUGGCCCCCAGGU